Long non-coding RNA from Zonotrichia leucophrys gambelii, 2684 nucleotides. RefSeq lists it as uncharacterized. The record is from RefSeq and is a predicted model, not a curated record. Lineage: Eukaryota; Metazoa; Chordata; Aves; Passeriformes; Passerellidae. The transcript is spliced from 8 exons.
UUAUACUGGCAAAUAUUCCAAGAGCCGACCUUGCCUGAGAUGAGCUGACAAUAAAACCUCACUGCAGGGGAAGACAACUCCAAACAGAACCUCUGUCCCUGGCCCCUUGAAAUGAGUGCUGUGCCACAUUCAGCUGGGCCUGCUCUGUGCAGGCUGCUGCUCUAGGGUGAGCAAACAGAAUGGGAGAAAACAACCUGCAAACCAGCAGUGUGCUGAAGACAGAAAGAGCAAUUCCCAUAAAUUACAUGUAUUUGAGGAAUAUGUCUGCUCUGGGAAAUAAAGGCAACUUUGAAGGCAGCACUCCACUCCCAGGAGGGCAUCAAGGGUCUUUCUGCUGAAGACAAUAAAGGUGGUGACGCUGAAUGGAUUUGACAAUGAAGUAGAGUUGCAACAUGAGCAACUCCUGAAGUUAGGGAGAUAUUGGCAGCUUCUCAAGGAGGAUUCCAGGUGGUUGCUGUUCUGCCCUGAGUUCUUCAGAGGAAGGCACAGAGGAGGAACUCUGCUGCUCUGGGAUCAUGUGCUGCUGGAGAAGAAAUAAAACUGCCCUAAGGCAGGCUCACAGCCUAAAGGAAGACCUGGCAGGUGUCCAAAAUGUCUGUUCCCCUCUGCUCUCCUCAUGCUUCAUCAAUCACAUCACCUGUGUGUCAUGGUUGUCAGUGUGGAGAAAAAUAUUUGGAAUGUUCUGGUUUUCUUUUACGCUGGCAGGGUGGUUUGUUACUGGGAAAAAAAAGGUGCCUUUUUAUGGAUACUAGUUCCUUAAAUCAGGAAUAUCCACCUGGGAAGGGAGCCCACAGAAACAAACCCACUGUAGUAAAAGUCUGUGAAGCUCUGCAAUUUAUACUUUUUACAGGAAGUUGAAUAUGGAUAUGUUAAUCCACAUUAAUAUAGACAUGGUUACAUCAGUUCGACAGAAAGGUGAACCACGUUCAGAACAUCCAGUUUUUCAUACAUGCAGACCUGCUCUGGGUGCCAGGUGAGUCUUUGGAGCUGUGGAAGCUCUGACUCCAGAGAUUCAGCAGGACUCUCAUGGCUCUGGUUGCCAAUGACUGCUCCUCAAACAAGACACAGAACCUGAAUUCUUCACAGGAAAAGCCAGAAAACCCAAACAAGCCAGGCUUCCUGCUCUUGCAGAUGUCUCUAACCCAGCAAGAAGCAGAAGGAUAAGGAUACAAGCACCAUUUAUUUCCCUCCUCAGGCCACCUUUAAACACUGAUAGAGGCAGCAGUAGAGGAAAAAUCCUUGAAGCAGUUAAGAACAAGCCAGAGAAACUCAGCCUGCACCUUGUCUCCUGAAACCACCUCAGCUCUGGAGCACCAAGACACCAACAGAGCCUCAAGUCGAGGCUGAGUCGGAAGGGCAGCUGGGUCAGCACUGGCAUCCCUCACCUCAGAGCUGCUGAACUGAACACCCUCACACGAGUCUUUUCCUCUGGGAGGUGAUGAAAAAGCAGUGAGCACAGCCCUUGAUGUCCAGACUCCUCAACAGACCUUGGAUCACACUUCACCUUCCAGGCUGGAUGCUCUUGUUGCACGAGGAUUUCCUGAAGGAAUUUCUGGACAAUCUGGGGGUAGGAAAAAGGACGGUGCUGAUUUUGCUGUUACAUCAAAUCACUUGGCAGUGAAACAUCUGGCCUGAAGACACAAGCUGCUCUCCACAGUGAGCACGGAGUGAUGGCCAGAUGGAAAUGUGCCACCUUCCCAUGUCCCCCUGCACAUUCAGGGAAUGGCACGGCAAUUGCAGCCAGGCGUAAUUCCUGCCUGGAAUUCCUACUUGCCUGGAAUUCUUACCUGUGAUUUGUACCUGCCUGUGAGUCCUGCCUGUAAUCCCUGCCUGUAAUCCCUGCCUGUAAUUCCUGCCUGUGAUUCCUACCUGUGAUUCCUACCUUUACUCUUUCCUACCUGCCUGUAAUUCCUACCUACCUGAAAUUCCUGCCUGUGAUUCAUACCUGUAAUUCCUGCCUGUGAUUCCUACCAGCCUGUAAUUCCUACCUGCCUGUAAUUCCUGACUGCCUGUAAUUCCUGCCUGUGAUUCCUACCUGGAAUUCCUGCCUAUAAUUCCUACCUGCCUGUAAUUCCUGACUGCCUGUGAUUCCUACCUGGAAUUCCUGCCUAUAAUUCCUACCUGCCUGAUUCCUACCUGUGACUCCAAGCUUUACUUUUUCCUACCUGCCUGUAAUUCCUACCUGUGAUUCCUGCCUGUCAUUCCUGCCUGUACCUCCUGCCUAUAAUUCCUGUCUGUAAUUCCUGCCUGUGAUUCCUGCCUGCAGCAGUGGGGCUGGAGCAGCUGGGGCAGCACAUCCCGUGGGCGGCUGCCUGGCAGGGGAGCAGUGGGAAUCAGGCACUCAGCACAUCCCUGCCUCUGGCUGAGCAGCUGUGUGGGUGUGCACCCUGUGGGUGUCUCAGACUCGUUCAUAAAGCUGAGGGUGUGAAUAAACCUGAGCUGCCAUGGCAUGGUGCUCCUGCUGCUGCAUUCACUGGCAGCAGGAGCUGGUGAGAGAGGGGGGCUGUGGAUGCAAAAAACCUCAAUCCUCCUGCCAUCUUUACCUUCUGCUUCCAUCUCACUGGGAAUCAAAUGAAUUUACGGUGUUUUAACUGGAGGAUAUUUUGAUUGAAGUUUCUCUUUAGAAGGACAAAUAAGUCUUGAUCUUGUGAUUAAGAAGGUACAAUAAAGGAAUUAAAAAAAGA